RNAcentral lists this unclassified non-coding RNA (354 nucleotides) under soil metagenome. RNAcentral describes it as "partial contains 5.8S ribosomal RNA, internal transcribed spacer 2, and large subunit ribosomal RNA". The stretch from base 2 to 119 matches the Rfam family "5.8S ribosomal RNA", at positions 37 to 154 of the family's 154-position model. The record is from RNAcentral.
GUGAAGAACGCAGCGAAAUGCGAUAAGUAGUGUGAAUUGCAGAAUUCAGUGAAUCAUCGAAUCUUUGAACGCACAUUGCGCCUUCUAGUAUUCUGGGAGGCAUGCCUGUUUGAGCGUCAUUAAACCUCUCUCAAGUAUGAUUACUUGGAUGUGAAGGAAGAGUACCUUAAACUUAAGGAGUGUUCUCCUUUGAAAUUGAUUAGCAGAUGGUAAUGUUAUUAAAUCCCUGAUGUUGUAAGAAAUAACAGUGGUUUUGUAGACUAUUAUCUAGCUUUAAAUUAUAAUUUUUAUUAUGGUUGACCUCAAAUCAGGUAAGGAUACCCGCUGAACUUAAGCAUAUCAAUAAGCGGAGGA